AACGCGGGCGGCGUGCUUAACACAUGCAAGUCGAACGCGAAAGGGACUUCGGUCCUGAGUAAAGUGGCGCACGGGUGAGUAACGCGUGGAUAAUCUACCCAAUGGUCUGGGAUAACAUUUCGAAAGGGGUGCUAAUACCGGAUAAGACCACGGAGUCUUUGGACUCUGCGGUAAAAGGUGGGGACCUUCGGGCCUACCGCAAUUGGAUGAGUCCGCGUACCAUUAGCUAGUUGGUAGGGUAAAGGCCUACCAAGGCGACGAUGGUUAGCUGGUCUGAGAGGAUGAUCAGCCACACUGGAACUGAGACACGGUCCAGACUCCUACGGGAGGCAGCAGUGGGGAAUUUUGCGCAAUGGGGGAAACCCUGACGCAGCAACGCCGCGUGAGUGAUGAAGGCCUUCGGGUCGUAAAGCUCUGUCAGAGGGGAAGAAAUGCGGGGUGCUAAUAUCACUUCCGCUUGACGGUACCCUCAAAGGAAGCACCGGCUAACUCCGUGCCAGCAGCCGCGGUAAUACGGAGGGUGCGAGCGUUGUUCGGAAUUAUUGGGCGUAAAGCGCGUGUAGGCGGUUUGUUAAGUCUGAUGUGAAAGCCCCGGGCUCAACCUGGGAAGUGCAUUGGAAACUGGCAGACUUGAAUACGGGAGAGGGCAGUGGAAUUCCUAGUGUAGGAGUGAAAUCCGUAGAUAUUAGGAGGAACACCGGUGGCGAAGGCGGCUGCCUGGACCGAUAUUGACGCUGAGACGCGAAAGCGUGGGGAGCAAACAGGAUUAGAUACCCUGGUAGUCCACGCCGUAAACGAUGAGUACUAGGUGUUGCGGGUAUUGACCCCUGCAGUGCCGCAGCUAACGCAUUAAGUACUCCGCCUGGGGAGUAC
This 873-nucleotide ribosomal RNA is filed under the name uncultured bacterium. Its description in RNAcentral is "bacterial SSU rRNA". It matches the Rfam family "Bacterial small subunit ribosomal RNA", at positions 32 to 883 of the family's 1533-position model. The record is from RNAcentral.